GUCCGGAAUUACUGGGCGUAAAGAGCUCGUAGGUGGUUUGUCGCGUUGUUCGUGAAAACUCACAGCUCAACUGUGGGCGUGCGGGCGAUACGGGCAGACUGGAGUACUGCAGGGGAGACUGGAAUUCCUGGUGUAGCGGUGGAAUGCGCAGAUAUCAGGAGGAACACCGGUGGCGAAGGCGGGUCUCUGGGCAGUAACUGACGCUGAGGAGCGAAAGCGUGGGGAGCGAACAGGAUUAGAUACCCUGGUAGUCCACGCCGUAAACGGUGGGUACUAGGUGUGGGUUUCCUUCCUUGGGAUCCGUGCCGUAGCUAACGCAUUAAGUACCCCGCCUGGGGAGUACGGCCGCAAGGCUAAAACUCAAAGAAAUUGACGGGGGCCCGCACAAGCGGCGGAGCAUGUGGAUUAAUUCGAUGCAACGCGAAGAACCUUACCUGGGUUUGACAUGCACAGGACGCCGGCAGAGAUGUCGGUUCCCUUGUGGCCUGUGUGCAGGUGGUGCAUGGCUGUCGUCAGCUCGUGUCGUGAGAUGUUGGGUUAAGUCCCGCAACGAGCGCAACCCUUGUCUCAUGUUGCCAGCACGUUAUGGUGGGGACUCGUGAGAGACUGCCGGGGUCAACUCGGA
RNAcentral lists this ribosomal RNA (625 nucleotides) under Mycobacterium sp. BM01. Its description in RNAcentral is "bacterial SSU rRNA". It matches the Rfam family "Bacterial small subunit ribosomal RNA", at positions 543 to 1167 of the family's 1533-position model. The record is from RNAcentral. Lineage: Bacteria; Bacillati; Actinomycetota; Actinomycetes; Mycobacteriales; Mycobacteriaceae.